This 305-nucleotide ribosomal RNA is filed under the name uncultured bacterium. RNAcentral describes it as "partial 16S ribosomal RNA". It matches the Rfam family "Bacterial small subunit ribosomal RNA", at positions 508 to 809 of the family's 1533-position model. The record is from RNAcentral.
ACAGCAGCCGCCACGGGAAUACAGAGGGUGCGAGCGUUAAUCGGAUUUACUGGGCGUAAAGCGUGCGUAGGCGGCUUUUUAAGUCGGAUGUGAAAUCCCUGAGCUUAACUUAGGAAUUGCAUUCGAUACUGGGAAGCUAGAGUAUGGGAGAGGAUGGUAGAAUUCCAGGUGUAGCGGUGAAAUGCGUAGAGAUCUGGAGGAAUACCGAUGGCGAAGGCAGCCAUCUGGCCUAAUACUGACGCUGAGGUACGAAAGCAUGGGGAGCAAACAGGAUUAGAUACCCCUGUAGUCCUGUCUCUUUACAC